GUGGGGAAUAUUGCGCAAUGGGGGAAACCCUGACGCAGCGACGCCGCGUGAGCGAAGAAGGCCUUAGGGUUGUAAAGCUCUGUUUUAAGGGACGAAUGUCGUGGGGAGUAAUAUGAUCUGCGAAUGACGGUACCUUAAGAGGAAGCCCCGGCUAACUACGUGCCAGCAGCCGCGGGAAGACGUAGGGGGCGAGCGUUGUCCGGAAUUACUGGGCGUAAAGAGCACGUAGGCGGGAACUAAAGUCAGGUGUGAAAGACCGGGGCUCAACUCCGGGGUUGAACUUGAAACUUGGUUUCUUGAUGGCAGGAGAGGAAAGCAGAAUUCCUGUUUUAGCGGUGAAAUGCGUAGAAAUCAGGAGUAAUACCAGUGGUGAAGGUGGCUUUCUGGACUGACCUUGACUCUGUGGUGCGAAAGCGUGGGUAGCAAACAGGAUUAGAUACCCGAGUAGUCC
Molecule: ribosomal RNA, 451 nt
Filed under: uncultured bacterium
Lineage: Bacteria
Description: partial 16S ribosomal RNA
Rfam family: Bacterial small subunit ribosomal RNA
Source: RNAcentral